AUUGAACGCUGGCGGCAGGCCUAACACAUGCAAGUCGAGCGACCGGCGGACGGGUGAGUCAUGUAUGGGGACUGCCCGAUAGAGGGGGCUCACUACUGGAAACGGUAGCUAAUACCGCAUACUAUCGGAUAACCCAUAUGGGAUUAGCUAGUAGGUGAGGUAAUGGCUUACCUAGGCGCCGAUACCUAGCUGGUCUGAGAGGAUGAUCAGCCACACUGGAACUGAGACACGGCCCAGACUCCUACGGAGGCAGCAGUGGGGAAUAUUGGACAAUGGGCGAAAGCCUGAUGCAGCCAUGCCGCGUGUGUGAAGAAGGCCCUAGGGUUGUAAAGUACUUGCAGUCGGGAGGCGUUACCAACAGAAGAAGCACCGGCUAACUCCGUGCCAGCAGCCGCGGUAAUAC
This 403-nucleotide ribosomal RNA is filed under the name uncultured bacterium. RNAcentral describes it as "partial 16S ribosomal RNA". It matches the Rfam family "Bacterial small subunit ribosomal RNA", at positions 30 to 526 of the family's 1533-position model. The record is from RNAcentral.